UCCGUCUUUGUUAGUUCACUCAGCUACAGAACCUAAUGGGAAAGAGGGAAGUUCUUUUUCCUUCCCUACAGAGGUCAAAAGGGGUCCAUUUUAGGAACCACUUGGCCAAAGACAGUAAGACUACAUAAUUUCCUUGGACAUCUUAACUCCUUCCUUUUGGAAAGCUAGAGACAGUCCCUAGUGGCCAAAACUGAGGCAUGGCCAUGGGAUGACAUUUUGGCAGCCUUCACCCAUGAACUUGGGUUUGGCACCCCCAGGGCAAGUAACCCAGAAGCAGAAUACACAAAGGGGCAGGAGUGGAUCUGCUGGUGUUUGGGAUGGCCUUUCAUAGCGAUAGGAAACAGUGGGGGCAACUGUGACCUCAACUGUCAUGAAUGAGUCAUUUCCCUGGAAGCCAAGGGAAACAGGCUAUGGGAGUGGUGUCUGUGACUGCAUUGUCUGGUGUGCAGUCAUUAAAGAAUGUUAGCCAGGUGCAGUGGUGCACGCCUUUAAUCCCAGCACUUUGGGAGGUGGAGGUGGGUGGAUCGCCUGAGGUCAGGAGUUUGAGACCAACCUAGCCAACAUUGUGAAACCCUGUCUCUACGAAAACUACAAAAAUUAGCCAGGUGUGGUGGCACGCAUGCCUGUAAUCCCAGCUACUUGGGAGGCUGAGGCAGGAGAAUCGCUUGAACCCGGGAGGCAGAGGUUGUAGUGAGCCGAGAUCACACCACUGCACUCCAGCCUGGGCGAUAGAGUGAGACUCCGUCUCAAAAAAAAAAAAAAGAAUGUCAACUGCUCCUGGCUCUGCAGAGGUAUGGCCCAGGUGACAGGGCUAUUGAGAGGCCAAAGGGACCCUGAUCAGCCAGUGGUGUCUUUGGAAUAGGUGCUGCAAGCUCUGGGAGGUGCUACUGCGCACCAGAAGGUUGGUGAGUUGGCCAAGGGUGUGGAGCUGGCUCCAGAGGGGAAGGAACAAAGGGAAGGGACCCUCUGGGAGCUGGAGAGACUUGGGAGCCUGGAGGCAGGAAUUCCCUGCCAUUGCCUGAGGCCUGGUUUGGAAAGUACAAUGCAGUUUUGGCAUGGUGGUUGCUGGCCUGGAAUGUGGUGGGGUGAAGAGCGUGGUGGAAGGACACACUGAGUUCCUGACCAUCCAGCAACAAAGGAGCAAAAAGACCUUGGAAUCCAUGAGAAGAAUUCUUAUGGCCAUGGAAUUGAUCAUGAAGAGGAACAAGGAGAGUCAUGAAAAGAUGAAAACUAUUCUGUUAAAUGCCUUUGUAAUCAAACUACUGGAUCUGAGAAAAAAAGUACCAACUGAAUUUCCAUGUAUUUAAAAUUUUUUGUGUGUGAAAACAUAUAGCAAUUGGAAAUCUGUCAAGGCAAGUAAAAAACUUUUCCCAAUGUUAAUGAAAUUUGACUCAUGAUAUUUAUCUACAAGACAUAAAAAUAUAGAUGGAUCCCAGAUACUCAGGAGGCUGAGGCAGCAGGAUCACUGGAGCCCAGGAGUUCGUACUGGUGGAGAAAAACAUUACUCACGUGGUGACAAAGUACCAGGCAGUUGUAAUGCACAGCCAGAGUUAAGAUUCCCUGCUCCUUAAAAGGGGUUCCCAGACUCGCAGCAUAUCGGCGUCACUGGCAGACCCACUGCGUCAGCAUGUGCAGCUGAACCAUGUCCCAGGUGAUCAGUGAUUCAUGGUGACUCGUCAUCCAAGAGCGUGUUCCUCUUGGCUUUCCCCACCUCCCUGCUUUAUGCUCUAAUCUCUGCCUGAACCAUCAUUUCUCAUGACUCCUGCGCUUCCUCCUUCCCAUGGGGUAAAGUCCACACUUUUAAUGUGGCCUCCAGCCCUUUGCAGUCUGUCCAGUCUCCCCUUCAGUCUCUUUUAACAUCACGUGAACCCUCCACUCCAGUCAAAACUCCCUGUAGUUUUUGGCCUCUCAGAUCCUGUGUCAUUCCUGCUUUUUUUCCCCCUUUGAAACCUGAGAUUAAACCCUGCUGGCUCUGGGAAGCCACUUCUAACUGCCAUGACACAGCACAAUAUCCCUUUCCUCCGGCACUUACUGUUUCACAAUUUGGUGAGCAUGGCAUGCUGCCUUAUACUGUGAUUUAAUCCUUUUUAAAGGUUGAGGUAUAAAAUAACAUAAACUGUGUAAACAGUCCUGA
Molecule: long non-coding RNA, 2134 nt
Organism: Homo sapiens (human)
Lineage: Eukaryota; Metazoa; Chordata; Mammalia; Primates; Hominidae
Exons: 2
Source: RefSeq, a predicted model, not a curated record